RNAcentral lists this ribosomal RNA (374 nucleotides) under uncultured prokaryote. RNAcentral's name for it is "bacterial SSU rRNA". It matches the Rfam family "Bacterial small subunit ribosomal RNA", at positions 524 to 896 of the family's 1533-position model. The record is from RNAcentral.
UACGGAGGGUGCAAGCGUUGUUCGGAAUUAUUGGGCGUAAAGAGCGUGUAGGCGGCCGGGUAAGUCAGAUGUGAAAGCCCUUGGCUUAACCAAGGAAGUGCAUUUGAAACUGCUUGGCUUGAGUACGGGAGGGGGAAGUGGAAUUCCUGGUGUAGAGGUGAAAUUCGUAGAUAUCAGGAGGAACACCGGUGGCGAAGGCGGCUUCCUGGACCGAUACUGACGCUGAGACGCGAAAGCGUGGGGAGCAAACAGGAUUAGAUACCCUGGUAGUCCACGCCGUAAACUUUGGGCACUAGGUGUUGCGGGUAUUGACCCCUGCAGUGCCGAAGCUAACGCAUUAAGUGCCCCGCCUGGGGAGUACGGCCGCAAGGCUA